GGGAAUGGUGAUGACUGUGUUGCACCAGAACAAUCCAAUACAAGCAAAAAGUUUGCAAAUGGGGAGACCACUAGUAAUGGAAAUGGUUUUCAUGGUGUAGUAGAUAGAUCUGGCCGGCGAAAUGAUAGCAUCUCCAGCCCUCUGCAUGUAAGAGGACAGAAUAAUGCUCCUACAACUGGUGAAAUGCCUGGAAUAACUAUACACACGGCUAAUACUGAA
Molecule: unclassified non-coding RNA, 219 nt
Filed under: Hevea brasiliensis (rubber tree)
Lineage: Eukaryota; Viridiplantae; Streptophyta; Magnoliopsida; Malpighiales; Euphorbiaceae
Source: RNAcentral